GACAGAGGGGGCAAGCGUUGCUCGGAAUUACUGGGCGUAAAGGGCGCGUAGGCGGGCUGGCAAGUCGGUCGUGAAAGCCUUCGGCUCAACCGAAGAACGUCGGCCGAUACUGCCGUUCUUGAGGGAUGCAGAGGAGACUGGAAUUCCCGGUGUAGCGGUGAAAUGUGUAGAGAUCGGGAGGAACACCGGUGGCGAAGGCGGGUCUCUGGGCAUCUCCUGACGCUGAGGCGCGAAAGCGUGGGGAGCAAACGGG
This 253-nucleotide ribosomal RNA is filed under the name uncultured bacterium. Its description in RNAcentral is "partial 16S ribosomal RNA". It matches the Rfam family "Bacterial small subunit ribosomal RNA", at positions 524 to 776 of the family's 1533-position model. The record is from RNAcentral.